This 482-nucleotide ribosomal RNA is filed under the name uncultured bacterium. RNAcentral describes it as "partial 16S ribosomal RNA". It matches the Rfam family "Bacterial small subunit ribosomal RNA", at positions 28 to 507 of the family's 1533-position model. The record is from RNAcentral.
GAUGAACGCUAGCGGCAGGCCUAAUACAUGCAAGUCGGACGGGAUUCAGGAGCUUGCUUCUGAUGAGAGUGGCGCACGGGUGCGUAACACGUAUGUAACCUACCUUUAUCAGGGGGAUAGCCCCUCGAAAGAGAGAUUAAGCCCGCAUAAAAUCACAGCACAGCAUUGUGUAAUGAUCAAAUAUUUAUAGGAUAAAGAUGGGCAUGCGGAACAUUAGCUAGAUGGCGGGGUAACGGCCCACCAUGGCGACGAUGUUUAGGGGAUCUGAGAGGAUGGCCCCCCACACUGGUACUGAGACACGGACCAGACUCCUACGAGAGGCAGCAGUAAGGAAUAUUGGGCAAUGGGCGGAAGCCUGAACCAGCCAUGCCGCGUGCAGGAAGACGGCCCUACGGGUUGUAAACUGCUUUUAUACGGGAAUAAACCCAGAUACGUGUAUCUGGCUGAAUGUACUGUAAGAAUAAGGAUCGGCUAACUCCGUG